Small nucleolar RNA from Mus caroli (Ryukyu mouse), 79 nucleotides. RefSeq annotates it as small nucleolar RNA SNORD115. The record is from RefSeq and is a predicted model, not a curated record. NCBI's taxonomy places the organism in Eukaryota, Metazoa, Chordata, Mammalia, Rodentia, Muridae.
UGGUCAAUGAUGACAACCCAAUGUCAUGAAUAGAGGUGAUGACAUAAAAUUCAAGCUCAAUAAAAUUACGCUGAGGCCC